Molecule: ribosomal RNA, 990 nt
Filed under: Bacillus glycinifermentans
Lineage: Bacteria; Bacillati; Bacillota; Bacilli; Caryophanales; Bacillaceae
Description: bacterial SSU rRNA
Rfam family: Bacterial small subunit ribosomal RNA
Source: RNAcentral
UGGAUUGGAGGGGACAGAUGCNUACUUGCUCCCUGAUGUUAGCGGCGGACGGGUGAGUAACACGUGGGUAACCUGCCUGUAAGACUGGGAUAACUCCGGGAAACCGGGGCUAAUACCGGAUGCUUGAUUGAACCGCAUGGUUCAAUUAUAAAAGGUGGCUUUUAGCUACCACUUACAGAUGGACCCGCGGCGCAUUAGCUAGUUGGUGAGGUAACGGCUCACCAAGGCAACGAUGCGUAGCCGACCUGAGAGGGUGAUCGGCCACACUGGGACUGAGACACGGCCCAGACUCCUACGGGAGGCAGCAGUAGGGAAUCUUCCGCAAUGGACGAAAGUCUGACGGAGCAACGCCGCGUGAGUGAUGAAGGUUUUCGGAUCGUAAAACUCUGUUGUUAGGGAAGAACAAGUACCGUUCGAAUAGGGCGGUACCUUGACGGUACCUAACCAGAAAGCCACGGCUAACUACGUGCCAGCAGCCGCGGUAAUACGUAGGUGGCAAGCGUUGUCCGGAAUUAUUGGGCGUAAAGCGCGCGCAGGCGGUUUCUUAAGUCUGAUGUGAAAGCCCCCGGCUCAACCGGGGAGGGUCAUUGGAAACUGGGGAACUUGAGUGCAGAAGAGGAGAGUGGAAUUCCACGUGUAGCGGUGAAAUGCGUAGAGAUGUGGAGGAACACCAGUGGCGAAGGCGACUCUCUGGUCUGUAACUGACGCUGAGGCGCGAAAGCGUGGGGAGCGAACAGGAUUAGAUACCCUGGUAGUCCACGCCGUAAACGAUGAGUGCUAAGUGUUAGAGGGUUUCCGCCCUUUAGUGCUGCAGCAAACGCAUUAAGCACUCCGCCUGGGGAGUACGGUCGCAAGACUGAAACUCAAAGGAAUUGACGGGGGCCCGCACAAGCGGUGGAGCAUGNUGUUUAUUCGAAGCAACGCGAAGAACCUUACCAGGNCUUGACAUCCUCUGACACCCUAGAGAUAGGGCUUCCCCUUCGGGGCAGA